UACGUAGGGGGCAAGCGUUGUCCGGAAUCAUUGGGCGUAAAGAGCGUGUAGGCGGCCCGAUAAGUCCGCUGUGAAAGUCCAGGGCUCAACCCUGGAAUGCCGGUGGAUACUGUCGGGCUCGAAUCCGGAAGAGGCGAGUGGAAUUCCUGGUGUAGCGGUGAAAUGCGCAGAUAUCAGGAGGAACACCAAUGGCGAAGGCAGCUCACUGGGACGGUAUUGACGCUGAGACGCGAAAGCGUGGGGAGCAAACAGG
Molecule: ribosomal RNA, 253 nt
Filed under: uncultured bacterium
Lineage: Bacteria
Description: partial 16S ribosomal RNA
Rfam family: Bacterial small subunit ribosomal RNA
Source: RNAcentral